This 469-nucleotide ribosomal RNA is filed under the name uncultured bacterium. Its description in RNAcentral is "bacterial SSU rRNA". It matches the Rfam family "Bacterial small subunit ribosomal RNA", at positions 21 to 518 of the family's 1533-position model. The record is from RNAcentral.
GGCUCAGGAUUAACGCUGGCGGCGUGCCUAAUACAUGCAAGUCGAAUGGUAGCAAUACCAUGGCGAACGGGUGAGUAACACGUAGGUAACCUGUCUUUAAGCCGAGGAUAACCAUUGGAAACGAUGGAUAAUACUGGAUAGGACAUUUGAAGGCAUCUUUAAAUGUUUAAAGAUUUAUCACUUAGAGAGGGGCCUGCGGCGCAUUAGCUAGUUGGUGAGGUGAAGGCUUACCAAGGCGAUGAUGCGUAGCCGGACUGAGAGGUUGAACGGCCACAAUGGAACUGAGAACGGUCCAUACUCCUACGGGAGGCAGCAGUAGGGAAUUUUCGGCAAUGGGCGGAAGCCUGACCGAGCAACGCCGCGUGAACGAAGAAGUAUUUCGGUAUGUAAAGUUCUUUUAUUAGGGACGAAAAGACAGAUUGACGGUACCUAAUGAAUAAGCUCCGGCUAACUACGUGCCAGCAGCCGC